Molecule: non-coding RNA, 74 nt
Organism: Cordylochernes scorpioides
Lineage: Eukaryota; Metazoa; Arthropoda; Arachnida; Pseudoscorpiones; Chernetidae
Source: the annotation of a GenBank genome assembly
GGCCCAUUAGCUCAGUUGGUUAGAGCGUCGUGCUAAUAACUCGAAGGUCAUGGUUUCAAUCCCCCCAUAGGCCA